UACGUAGGGUGCGAGCGUUAAUCGGAAUUACUGGGCGUAAAGCGUGCGCAGGCGGUUUUGUAAGCCAGAUGUGAAAUCCCCGGGCUCAACCUGGGAAUGGCAUUUGGGACUGCAAGGCUUGAGUGCGGCAGAGGAGACUGGAAUUCCUGGUGUAGCAGUGAAAUGCGUAGAUAUCAGGAGGAAUACCGAUGGCGAAGGCAGGUCUCUGGGCUGACACUGACGCUGAGGCGCGAAAGCUAGGGUAGCAAACGGG
RNAcentral lists this ribosomal RNA (253 nucleotides) under uncultured bacterium. Its description in RNAcentral is "partial 16S ribosomal RNA". It matches the Rfam family "Bacterial small subunit ribosomal RNA", at positions 524 to 776 of the family's 1533-position model. The record is from RNAcentral.